This 497-nucleotide ribosomal RNA is filed under the name uncultured bacterium. Its description in RNAcentral is "partial 16S ribosomal RNA". It matches the Rfam family "Bacterial small subunit ribosomal RNA", at positions 28 to 507 of the family's 1533-position model. The record is from RNAcentral.
GAUGAACGCUGGCGGCGUGCCUAAUACAUGCAAGUCGAGCGAACGGACGAGAAGCUUGCUUCUCUGAUGUUAGCGGCGGACGGGUGAGUAACACGUGGAUAACCUACCUAUAAGACUGGGAUAACUUCGGGAAACCGGAGCUAAUACCGGAUGAUAUUUUGAACCGCAUGGUUCAAAAGUGAAAGACGGUCUUGCUGUCACUUAUAGAUGGAUCCGCGCUGCAUUAGCUAGUUGGUAAGGUAACGGCUUACCAAGGCAACGAUGCAUAGCCGACCUGAGAGGGUGAUCGGCCACACUGGAACUGAGACACGGCCCAGACUCCUACGGGAGGCAGCAGUAGGGAAUCUUCCGCAAAGGGCGAAAGCCUGACGGAGCAACGCCGCGUGAGUGAUGAAGGUCUUCGGAUCGUAAAACUCUGUUAUUAGGGAAGAACAUAUGUGUAAGUAACUGUGCACAUCUUGACGGUACCUAAUCAGAAAGCCACGGCUAACUACGUG